UACAGAGGUCUCAAGCGUUGUUCGGAUUCAUUGGGCGUAAAGGGUGCGUAGGUGGCGCUGUAAGUCAGGUGUGAAAUUUCGGAGCUUAACUCCGAAACUGCAUUUGAUACUGCGGUGCUUGAGGACUGGAGAGGAGACUGGAAUUCACGGUGUAGCAGUGAAAUGCGUAGAGAUCGUGAGGAAGACCAGUGGCGAAGGCGGGUCUCUGGACAGUUCCUGACACUGAGGCACGAAGGCCAGGGGAGCAAACGGG
Molecule: ribosomal RNA, 253 nt
Filed under: uncultured bacterium
Lineage: Bacteria
Description: partial 16S ribosomal RNA
Rfam family: Bacterial small subunit ribosomal RNA
Source: RNAcentral